GACGAACGCUGGCGGCGUGCUUAACACAUGCAAGUCGAACGCUGAAGCUUGGUGCUUGCUCUGGGUGGGUGAGUGGCGAACGGGUGAGUAAUACGUGAGUAACCUGCCCUUGACUCUGGGAUAAGCCUGGGAAACUGGGUCCAAUACUGGAUACGACAUGUCACCGCAUGGUUCUGUGUGGAAAGGGGUUUUCUGGUUUUGGAUGGGCUCACUGCCUAUCAGCUUGUUGGGGUGGUAAUGGCACACCAAGGCGACGACGGGUAGCCGGCCUGAGAGGGUGACCGGCGACACUAGUACUGAGACACGGACCAGACUGCUACGGGAGGCAGCAGUGGGGAGUAUUGCACAAUGGGCCGAAGCCUGAUACAGAGGCGUCGCGUGAGGGAUGACGGCCUUCGGGUUGUAAACCUCUUUCAGAACGGAAGAAGCGAAAGUGACGGUACGUGAAGAAGAAGCGCCGGCUAACUACGUG
RNAcentral lists this ribosomal RNA (472 nucleotides) under uncultured bacterium. RNAcentral describes it as "partial 16S ribosomal RNA". It matches the Rfam family "Bacterial small subunit ribosomal RNA", at positions 28 to 507 of the family's 1533-position model. The record is from RNAcentral.